GACCUUCCUACUGUAAAGGUCCUAAAACACACAAAAAUCAGGAGAAAAAGGGACAGAACAUUUAACUCCCUAGUGAUUUUAGAAACUAACAACAAAUUAUAUUUGAAACAUGGAAUAUACAAAACAUACUCAAUUUUUCUCCCACCUGUAAUUCUACAAGAUCUAACCUGAGACAUCUUAGUGACAUUACCAAUUGAUAGAUGAACUUUCUAUACCUUUGUACUAUUGAGUCUAACUGUUACACUCCAUAAUAAUCUGUGCUACUUGUAUUAAAACAAGAAAGAAUGAGUUAAGAAGGUUCAAGGAAAGUUAAUCGAGUUAGUAAGAAUAUCGUUAUAUAUACAUGGUUUCCUUAAGUAUCCCAAGGCGACACGGUUACCUAAAGGGUGUGGAAUCGCGCUAUGAGUAUGUAUAUGAAGUAAUGCGAGUGACCUUUUAAAGUAUUUGAGAUUAUUAGUAAUGAUAUAGAGGGUGGACAAAAGAUAUGAAUAUACUUUUGCGAUUGGAGUUUCGUCAAAGCUUUGUGAGUUCUCUAGUUAUGUUUAAGGUUAUUGUGAGUCUUUGGACCCUUCAAGAUGUGUAUAUGGAUUUUUUAUUGAUGUAUAUAAGUGUGUAUAUGUAUGCAUAAGAGGUUACAUAAGGUUGGAAGAGGAUUAGAAGUUAAACGAAAUGAAUCGGAACAACUUCAGUAAAAUUUCGGACCCGAUUUUAGUCUAUAUUGUAGGAGGCAUAUCUCCUUGAAUAUGAGGAGUUUUAAGGUGUUUCAAAAGCCUAAAAUGAAGUUCAUCGAGUCUAGUUUGUAAUGCAACAAACCUCUCGUCAAAAUGAUAUCGGGAUAAGGAGAUAUGGACGAUGUAAGUUGGGCUGGCAGGGCAGCAAGUUUGGACCCGACCCAAACACUCACAUUUCGGCCCAUGAGGCCCAUUAAACUCAAUAGAUAAGUCACCACUUUGCCUUAUAUCAUUUCACACGACCUAAAACAGAUCCAAAACCCUUAUUUUCUCUCCCAAACCCCCUUUCUAAUUGAGCCAUCAUAUAAGCUAAAUCCUAGACCCUUGACAUGAUAUUAGUUAAAGAGAAGUUGUAGCUUAAGUUUUUUUUUUGUGUUGUUAAGCAAGCAGCUGGAAAGAGGAACAAGAUUCUUGAAGAUUCUGAUUGCUAAAGGUAAUUUCAACCUCCCACUCAUGUUAUCAAUUUGGAUUAAAGGUUUAAUAUGGUGUAUACGUGAAGGAAACGUUGAUAUACAAGCUAGAGAGAGAGAGAGCAUAAGCCAUGGCAUUCGGCCAUGGCUAGCAAAAUUGGAGCUCAAAUUUGUUGAUCCAAAAAUCAGAUUUUCUAGGUAUUUCAGCCCUUAGGAAGGUGAUAAUAACGUGGAGAAUUCAUUUGGAGCAACAAGAACAAGUAUUAGUGCAUUUCACAAAUUCUAGCUAAGUGGAAAAAGCCAACUUGUUAAGAUUGGUUAUUGGAGUUGCUAGGUUGGUUAUUGUGGUUGUUGCUGUUGAUUUUGAGCGAGUUAAAUUCUCGGGAUGGCCUAUUUACAGGGGAAGUGCUGCCGAAUUUUCUGUAGAAUUUAAUGUUAGUUUGGAAUGAAUGGCUUAAGUGCCUAUGUUUAAUAUUGGAUAUUCGUUGGCAUAUUUGUAGACCUUGGGGAGCCUGAGGCGUAGAUUGGAAUUUACUUUAGAUUGGCUAUCUUGGAGUGCGUACGAGGUAUGUAAAGCGCAACCCUUCUUUCUUUUGGCAUGCCUUAGUUUUCAAUAGGCUAUAUCACGAGCCUCGAGGAAAUUCCAAAUUCGAAAUCCGAGCACGUUAUGAUCCUUAUAUAUAUUUCUUGGCAUUCUUAUGUAUGUUGUGAUGAAGUAUGAACAAUUAUGUCUUCGAAAGCAUUGAUUUUCAAACUUUGUACAAAAAGUUGUUUUAAAGAAUUCCGUAACUACGAAAUGCCAUAUCUUUUGCAUAAAGGCUCGGAUUGCUCCAAUAUUUUCAUAAGAGUUUGCAUGAUGUAUCGUAUGUUUUCCAUGAGCGGGCCCGAUUCGGGUCGAUACCCGUUCGUGGGUCUCGCGACUUUCCUUUAUGUAAUUCGGACGACUUUUGAAAGAAUUUGGUAUGAUUAUCAUUUCGAAUUUCAAAUAUUAUCAUUUUACUUAUGUUUGAAUUUAUGAUAAUGAUUUUAUGCAUAUGACUACUCUAUUAACUACUAAACAAAAAUUGUUUUAAAUAAUUCAUUAAGUCUUAUAAAUUGUUUUGGCACUCGGAACGACUUCAGAAAGGUAUGCUUCUGUAAUUCAUUAUGACAUCCGAAACUCACUUAUUAUGAUCCUGUCUUACUUCAUUGAAUUGGUUUGUCAUUGAUAUGCCUCAUCGAGUCUCUGAAAAUAUUUAUGAUAUUUUAACUGCAUUUAGUUUCUCACUACUCUAUUCGUGGAUGCCCCAAUGUUUCCCACACUGAGCCCGGGCCAGGAUAUGUUGUCAAGCGUAAUCCUCUGCAUUGUUCGUCGUGCCUCGAUGUGAGGGGGCAGGUAUACGUGUACAUGGGUUUGUGGAGUAUGCUGUGCCAUGUACACAUGUUCUGAUAUGAUUUGCCAUGGCCAUCUGAUAUGAUAUACUAUGUUACGGGGUUAUGCCCUUAUUCUGAUUCUUCUGUGUUGUGGCACCAGCGUCGGGAGGGUGGCCACGUUCUGUUUGCCGAGUCCCUUGGCAGGGGCCGGAUUUGAUAUGACAUAUGUUUCUGUACACACUCCGCAUGUUUUGAAGAUAUGUAUUUGAUACUUUGGAUUUUCUACUCACUUUUUCUGUACGCUCUGUACCAGUUAUGAUUUUGGUUCUGUAAUUCAGGCUUUACAUAUUCAGUACAUAUUUCGUACUGACCCCCUUUCUUCGGGGGCUGCGUUUUCAUGCCGCGCAGGUACCGACGACAGGUUUGCUGAUCCGUCCGUCUAGGAUAUCUUUUCUGCCAUUUGGAGCGCUCUUUUAUUCAGAGCCCAUCUUUUGGUUAAGCCGCCAUGUUGUGGGUUCGUGAAAGAGCAUUGGAGAUUAUUCCAGUGUUUCAAGGUUGAGUUGUCAGCUAGUCUGUGGUAGCUUAGAGUCUUUAUCUCUGUACUCAGUCUUAACGAGAAGUUGUGUUAUGACUUUGAAAAAAGGGUCUUAUAGCUCAAAGUGGGUUAAGGCAAAAAGUAAUUUUAACGUGGUCAAAUCCACACCUGGAAAAAAAAAAUGACAAGCCGUCAUUGUGCAGUUCAGAGAAGCCUUUUAAAGUUGAGAAACAAAAUCAAAUUUGAAUACUUGUAUUCUUAACCAGAUGUUGUAUCUUCAGUAACCGCGUGUAUUUCCUAUUCUUAGUAGCUUUUGACUUGUGAUACCAUUUAUUAGGGGUUGUAGAGUAGUAUUUCGUAUUGUUCUAACUUGGAAA
This is a long non-coding RNA of Lycium barbarum (goji berry), 3406 nucleotides long. RefSeq lists it as uncharacterized. Lineage: Eukaryota; Viridiplantae; Streptophyta; Magnoliopsida; Solanales; Solanaceae. The record is from RefSeq and is a predicted model, not a curated record. The transcript is spliced from 3 exons.